AAGUCGUAACAAGGUUUCCGUAGGUGAACCUGCGGAAGGAUCAUUAAUGUUAUUUGUUUUUAGACCUGCGCUUAACUGCGCGGUUUAAUAAACUCUUAUACACAGUGUUUUUGUUUGCGAAUUUGGUUUAGUUUGUUGGUUUUCAUUCGAAAGGAUGAAGAUUGAUUGCUAAAUCUUAUUCAGCUUUUUAAACUCAGAUCUCUUUUUAAGAGAAAUGUAUUUUUUUAAUUACAACUAGUCGAUUUUACAAACUAAAAGUUUAAAACUUUCAGCAACGGAUCUCUUGGUUCUC
This 292-nucleotide unclassified non-coding RNA is filed under the name fungal sp. RNAcentral's name for it is "partial contains small subunit ribosomal RNA, internal transcribed spacer 1, and 5.8S ribosomal RNA". The stretch from base 1 to 46 matches the Rfam family "Eukaryotic small subunit ribosomal RNA", at positions 1786 to 1831 of the family's 1831-position model. RNAcentral also lists the same sequence under 1 other name. The record is from RNAcentral. Lineage: Eukaryota; Fungi.